Molecule: transfer RNA, 87 nt
Filed under: Ruminococcus flavefaciens
Lineage: Bacteria; Bacillati; Bacillota; Clostridia; Eubacteriales; Oscillospiraceae
Also listed under: 5 other names
Description: tRNA_Leu_TAA
Rfam family: tRNA
About the family: Transfer RNA (tRNA) molecules are approximately 80 nucleotides in length. Their secondary structure includes four short double-helical elements and three loops (D, anti-codon, and T loops).
Source: RNAcentral
GCCGCUGUGGUGGAAUAGGCAGACACAAGGGACUUAAAAUCCCUCGGAGUAAAAUCCGUACCGGUUCGACCCCGGUCAGCGGCACCA